AGAAUGAUCAUUAUCUUCUUCAAUCUGGACAGACAACAAGUGGUUGAUGGUAGUAUGAAAAAUGAAUAGUGACACAUGAAUGAAAAUGAAGGACAUAUAGAUUUUCAAUGUCAAAAUCAACAACAAAACAGCAAACAGCUUCCCUAAUUGUCACAAUACAGGGGAAAGAGGAGGACAGGAAAAAAUCCCCAAGCAGGUGUUCCAAUAACAGGGUAAAAUUAACUCAGAAACCUUCCACAAACUGGAUUCAAGAAGUCAUCACUCUCUUUAGUCUUUACAACAUGUUUCCAACGCAAUUUACCAUCCCUCAACAAUUUGCAAACGCUUCUACCAAUAUUACAAAUAUUAUUAGCAAUUUAAUGCUAAACAAGCAGGUAAACAUCAACUAGAUUUCAGUAGAAACUAAGCAAUAUAAAUAGGAGAUGACUGAUGGUCAAAUUUUCCCCCUCCAGGUCAUGAAAUGUAGGAGGUAUCAACAAAUUUUUAUGUUUCCUUUCCUAGAAUAAAUGAACUAUCAUUACUUCAUAUAGUAGAGUACAAAGCAGCUCUACUCAACUAGCCUUAAUUCCAAACAAGUUAGGUUCAGCCAGAUUGAUUGUUAUUCAUACAGCUUUGUUUAGGGCUUUAUACUAAAGGAAAUAUUUCAGUUUGUGUUUAAAGGAUUGUUGUAACCAAGCAAACAUUCACAUCUACAGAUUGAAAGCUUAUGCCUCAUUCUAAAUAUCUCCUGCCAAGCUGCAUAAAUCACCUCCACUUCUGAACAACAAUGGUAGUUAGGUUUGACUGAUUAACAAAGAAGUUAAUAAUGAAGGUAAACAUAGUUACACCAUAUGAUUGAAGAAAGUUUCAAAAUACAAGAAUUCACUUGCAUGAUUUUGCAAUAUUCAUGUUACUUAACCAAAAAGGGAAAAAAAGUCAGUUUAGAUAUCUACCGUUUCAAAAGCCUAUAUUUAAAAGAAUAAAACAAGAAAAUGCUUUCCCUAUAUCUCUUUGUAAAGCUUUGUUCAAUAAGAAUAAACACCGCAUGUACAGGUAAGCAUGAAAAUGUUUGCAAAGUAGAACAGUUGAUAAAGCCAAUAACUAGAGGCCAGCAAGUGUGAAAUUGGAAGAAAACAGAUACAUAAAUAUAAUAAUUGGCCACAUAAAAUAUUUUAACUCUUACAAGUUUUCCUAUAGCAUCAUAGCU
RNAcentral lists this unclassified non-coding RNA (1186 nucleotides) under Hevea brasiliensis (rubber tree). The record is from RNAcentral. Lineage: Eukaryota; Viridiplantae; Streptophyta; Magnoliopsida; Malpighiales; Euphorbiaceae.